UGUUUGUUUGAAGACGUAUCUACAUGAAGGAACAGAAAAUUACCUGACUUACUAAAGCAAGAGUGAACUCCGAAAAAUGUUAGUACAAGUCACAGUGAUUCAAUAUCUCAAAAUAGAUUUGUUCAACGUCAUAAUUCAUACUACUUUAGCUUGGUACCAUCGGACAA
Molecule: long non-coding RNA, 167 nt
Organism: Anneissia japonica
Lineage: Eukaryota; Metazoa; Echinodermata; Crinoidea; Comatulida; Comatulidae
Exons: 2
Source: RefSeq, a predicted model, not a curated record